GGAAGUAAAAGUCUAACAAGGUUUCCGUAGGUGAACCUGCGGAAGGAUCAUUAUUGUAUAACCGAGGUGCGAGGGCUGUCGCUGACCCGAAAGGUCGUGCACGCCCGAGUGCCCUCACACACAUCCAUCUCACCCCUAUGUGCACCACCGCGUGGGUCCCCCUUUGGCUUGUUCGGAGGGGGGCUUACGUUUUCACACAAACUUUGUAUGCAGUGUAGAAUGUAUUUUUUGUUUUUGCGAUCACGCAAUCAAUACAACGUUCAACAACGGAUCUCUUGGCUCUC
RNAcentral lists this unclassified non-coding RNA (284 nucleotides) under plant metagenome. RNAcentral describes it as "partial contains small subunit ribosomal RNA and internal transcribed spacer 1". The stretch from base 1 to 53 matches the Rfam family "Eukaryotic small subunit ribosomal RNA", at positions 1778 to 1831 of the family's 1831-position model. The record is from RNAcentral.